This 769-nucleotide small RNA is filed under the name Pongo abelii (Sumatran orangutan). RNAcentral's name for it is "retained intron". The record is from RNAcentral. Lineage: Eukaryota; Metazoa; Chordata; Mammalia; Primates; Hominidae.
GACUUCGCCGCGCGUUGGUCAGCCAUGGCCACCGCUCUCGCGCUACGUAGCUUGUACCGAGCGCGACCCUCGCUGCGCUGUCCGCCCGUUGAGCUUCCCUGGGCCCCGCGGCGAGGGCAUCGGCUCUCGCCGGCGGAUGACGAGCUGUAUCACCGGACGCGCAUCUCUCUGCUGCAACGCGAGGCUGCUGAGGCCACGUACAUCGACAGCUACAACAGCCGCGGCUUCAUGAUAAACGGAAACCGCGUGCUCGGCCCCUGCGCUCUGCUCCCGCACUCGGUGGUGCAAUGGAACGUGGGAUCCCACCAGGACAUCACCGAAGAGAGCUUUUCCCUCUUCUGGAUGCUGGAGCCCCGGAUAGGUACUGGGGGAGGGGAGGGAGAACAGAGGUAUUCUGGGCCCCAAAAGGCGACCCCCACUGCAGCCUCUCAACAGAACUGUAGACUAGCCACACCCACCCUUCCCUAGAAAUUGUUGUGGUGGGGACUGGAGACCGGACCGAGAGGCUGCAGUCCCAGGUGCUUCAAGCCAUGAGGCAGCGGGGCAUUGCUGUGGAAGUGCAGGACACGGUGAGUCCCGGGACUGGGGCAUGCUGCGGGGAGCACAGGCCUGGCGCUAGACAGGCUGAUGCUGGCCUUUUCUUUGCAGCCCAAUGCCUGUGCCACCUUCAACUUCCUGUGUCAUGAAGGCCGAGUAACUGGAGCUGCUCUCAUCCCUCCACCAGGAGGGACUUCACUCACAUCUUUGGGCGAAGUUGCUCAAUGAACCG